AUAAGGACUAGGUUGCUGGAAAUAAGCUGAACACAUUGGAAAAGUGCCUCUCUCUCUCUCUAUGCCCAAUUCCACUUUUUAACCUAUUUUUAGGCCAGACAAUCUUUCCAAAAUCUCUUUUGACUGCUCAUCCAUUCUUUUUAACCAACAUUUUAGUCUUUUGUACAUUUAUUUUAAAACCUGCACUUCUCCAAACUUUUUAAUUUCCUAAAACCUUAGGAACGCUUACUUUAUGCUGUUCCACUGUUAAGAUCACAUCAUCCACAAAAGCCUUUAAUUUAUAAGUUCUACACCCUACUUUUAUACCUUUGAUAUCCUUGUUUUCCCUAAUACUCUGCAGCAGUAUUCCCAACGUCGUUCUAUGCCCAAUUCCAGGCAGAUAUGAGAAGAAGAACACUUUGAAAAAUGUAUGCCUUGGGAUACCCUGGACAUUAAGAGGAAUGGUCAACGUGUUCUUGUCCCUUCAGAGUAAAUAGACUUACAUUACAGGUCUAGUGGAGGGAAAUCAAUCGAAUUAACAUAUGAGCAUGGAUUAAGGAAUAUUUGGCAUAUUAUACCAUGGAAGGUGGAGCAGCAAAGGCAUAAUUGUUUUUUUGCUUGUGUUUUGAAUAGGGCUGGUUGGAUGAGGGUAAGUGAGUGGAGCUCAGAAUUGUCAAAAUUAAAGUGUUACAAAAAUGUGUUGGAGAAUGGGAGAUGUUAAAGGGAUAAUUGGGAUAUUCAUCAACUGAGUAUAGGACUUAGUAAUCAAGGCUGAGGGAAAUGAGUUGGAUCUGGAAGGGUGAGUAAAUGUGGUGUGUGUGUGUGUGUGUGUGUGUGUGUAAAUAAAUAAAAUGGAUUGUUUAAAUGGAUAUAUAACAAGAUGGAGAAGGAGUGGGUGGACUAUUGAUAGCCCUGUUUAAAUUGUGUCAAUUUCAUCUACAACAAUGGACAUUCUACUCAUUGAAACAAAUAUAAAAUCAUAAGUAGAUUAUUAUUCAUGAGAUGUACAGCCACACUGUAUGACAGAUAAAAACCAAACACAAUCAUAACAUUUCAGUUGGUGUACCAAUAAUGAAACAAUUUGACCCUAUAAUUAUGUAACCCAUAGUAGGAUUGGAAAAUGGUUUGUUGUUUGUUGUUGUUUAGUCGUUUAGUCGUGUCCGACUCUUCAUGACCCCAUGGACCAGAGCACGCCAGGCACUCCUGUCUUCCACUGCCUCCCGCAGUUUGGUCAGACUCAUGUUUGUAGCUUCGAGAACACUGUCCAACCAUCUCGUCCUCUGUCGUCCCCUUCUCCUUGUGCCCUCCAUCUUUCCCAGCAUCAGGGUCUUUUCCAGGGAGUCUUCUCUUCUCAUGAGGUGGCCAAAGUAUUGGAGCCUCAGCUUCACGAUCUGUCCUUCCAGUGAGCACUCAGGGCUGAUUUCCUUCAGAAUGGAUAGGUUUGAUCUUCUUGCAGUCCAUGGGACUCUCAAGAGUCUCCUCCAGCACCAUAACUCAAAAGCAUCAAUUCUUCGGUGAUCAGCCUUCUUUAUGGUCCAGCUCUCACUUCCGUACAUCACUACUGGGAAAACCAUGGCUUUAACUAUACGGACCUUUGUUGGUAAGGUGAUGUCUCUGCUUUUUGGAAAAUGGUUAGUUUAAGUUAAAUGGCUUCAUUUAUAUAUCAGAAUACUGUACUGAUGCAUGGUCCAUAGUAACCAUGCCAUUAUGCAGACAUUAGGACAGUAAGCCAAAUAAGAGGGAGAACUGUAAUUCAGUGGCAUAGGUUGUUUCAUAUACUGUACCAAAGGCCUCAAGUUCACUCCCUAGAGUCACCAGGUAGGGCAGGGAAAGUUUCCUUCCUGAAAUCUUGGAGAGCCACUGCCUGUGUCAACAAUUCUGAGUAAGAUGGACUAGUGGUCUAACUUUAUGUAUGGUAGAGUCCCAUGUCCCCAAUCACAGCAUAUAAUUCUAGACCAAGCCAAAAGACCAAGCCAUUUGAAAAUAAUUCUUAACUUUCUCAAAUAACAUUUGCCUCCACAACCUUUAAAUAUGAUACAAUGUGGUUUUUGGCCAGCUUCUUAAAAUAAAGCAAAUAUAUAUUAAAUAUAUUUAAAAAAACAUUGUCUGAUAGCAUUCAGGCUGUGCAAGCUUGAGAUCUGAAGCUGUUGGUUACAUUGAAACCAGAUUUUUGUUCAAAUAAGUGCUGAAACUGCAAUUUUGCAGUCUGUCAAAAUUAGUUAUUUAUAGCAUCUCUAAGUAUAUUUUCCCUGACUUUGACAAUACUAGCAGAUUCUGAGGAAGUAGAAUUGGCUGCAGAUAACUCAAGUGCUAUAGAUUCCAGGCGUAUAAGAUUUGCUAAGCACUCCAAAAUUGGGAAUCAAAGGUGGGGUUAAUGCAGAAGGAACCUUUGGAAGAAAAAUGUUAUACAGCUGACAUUGUUCGUACUUGUUAGAGAGGGAUGAUAGCCUUCGGUUCAUUUUAUAUGGAUUUUGAGAAAUGUACAAGUGAUAUCACAGCCCAGCAUGAACAGUUCAGAAAGGUACCUGCUGUGCCACUAGCAAUAUGAAAUUCCCUUAAUUGAUAGAGGCAGUUCAUGUGUAUCUGGGAGCUGGAUUCCUCUGGAAUUCAAAUGCAUGGCUAGAACAUAUGGUGGAUGGAGUGGCAGAUUGGUAUCUUCACUUGGAGCAGGAUAAACCUAAGUAACAUUUGUAUUGCCUUGGGACUGGUGAUGUCCAUCGUGAAGGGGUGGGAUUCUAAGCCCAGUUCACUUUUCAUUUUGUUCUUUAUAACUGGGUUAAAAAUACAACAACCCAGCUUUUUGUUGUUGUUUAGUCGUUUAGUCGUGUCCGACUCUUCGUGACCCCAUGGACCAGAACACGCCAGGCACUCCUGUCUUCCACGGCCUCCUGCAGUUUGGUCAAACUCAUGCUGGUAGCUUCGAGAACACUGUCCAACCAUCUCGUCCUCUCUUGUCCCCUUCUCCUUGUGCCCUUCAUCUUUCCCAACAUCAGGAUCUUUUCCAGGGAGUCUUUUCUUCUUAUGAGAUGGCCAAAGUAUUGGAGCCUCAGCUUCACAAUCUGUCCAGCUUUAGCACUUGGCUUUUUUCACAAAGCCAGUCUGUCUAGCACCAAUGCUCAGGCUGCCUUUGUUCCAUGCUGCUAACACAGAUCUUCUUUUCCACCUCUGAGUCCACAUUUGUGCGUCACCAGCCUCCUUCACAAAUCUGCUUUGAAUAAAUCCAUGAUUAUGUGUUUUCAUUUUAAUCCUAGAGAACAAUAGCAAUAGCAAAAAUCGGUGUGCAUACCUAUAAGUGGCAAAUAAUUUAGGAAUACAUAUCUCUAAAAAUAUAAACAAAUCAUAUUCUGUGAAUUUAUUUGCUUUAAUUAAUAAAAACCCGAGAAGGAAAUGCACAGAUGGACCAAAGUGAAUCCCUCACUGUUAGGUAAAAUGUAUAUGCAGUGCAGAUUAUGGCAGUGCCAACAUUUUUAUAUCUAUUUCAGGUGCUCCCCAUCCCAUUCCGUCCAACUAUAUUUAAAUCCUGGCAAUAGAAACAAAAAUUAUUUUGUGUUUCACGGGGGAAAGUUAGCAUAGAAAAUGGACGGAGGCGGCUGGGGUUUGCCUCAAUUAGGAUUUGUAUUAUGUGGACUUUCAGUUCAGAAAGUUUCUUUUCAUUAUUUCAAAAGUGCCUAAAAUGUAUUGAGUUAGAGCAAGAAAUUACACAUCAAACUCCAUUGUGGGUUCUCUCUUUUUGUCAUUUAAAUAAGUCUAUGUUACAAAAAAACCACAAACCUGAUCAUUUUAUAUUAUGCAUGGUACAAAUUUGGAAGAAAUUGCAGCUUUACAUCUCUCUUAUCUGCUCACCAUUACUUGCAGUGGGAUAAAAUACAGAAGUUAAGGAUAUGUCAUUCAGUAAAGAAAUAGGAACAGACAGGUAUGUUUUAAAUAAGGAAUUUUUACAGUGAUAAUACAGCUAUUACUCUGGAACAAUUUAGGAUUGCUGAAGGUAAAGCCAAGUUGUUGUUUUUUUUUGCUAGCAAGUCAAAAACUGAAGACCCAAGCCAAUGGGGGUCUUACUAAAUUUUUGCGUUCGCUGUUGAACCAGAGAGCCACUGGAAAGGGACUAGUUUCUUUUAUAUAUAGGGAAUUGUUGGAACUGUCAAUUGGACCCCUUACAGGCCUUAAAAAAUCUAUGGAAAACAGAAAUGGAGAGUACAGUUGCAGAUGGUAAAUGGUUUUCUAAAUAUGUGGUUUUCUAAGCCAUGAUAGUCUGUUUCUGCGCACAUCUGGGAAUGUUCAUAAAAAAAUUCACACAGGUGGCACCACACACACACACACACACACACACACACACAAUUGUUCUGUGUGACUUUCAGUAUGACACUGUUUUGCUGGAGAGGAUGUGGGUUACAAGGAAUAUUUUUUUCAUUUAUGGUGGGAGGGACCAUUGGGAAUAAAGUUCUGGUUUAAUGUGUAGUUUUGGUCUAAUGAAGAAAAUGGGUAUGUUUAACCUGAAUAAAAGAUUGUUAAGAGGUGAUGUGAUAGAUAUCUGCAAAUAUUUGAAAGGCUGUGUAUGAUGGACCUUUAUUUCUGUUGCUCUAGAAGGUAGGACAUGAUCCAAUUAAUUUAAAUUACAAGAAAAGGGAUUUUGACAAAACAUUAGAAUAACUUCCUGACAGUACAAGCUCUUUCAAAGUUGAACAGGCUCCCUUGGAAGGCGAUUGUAGACUAUUUUUUGUUAGAGGUGUUCAGGCAGAGGCUGCUGAUCAGGGAUACUAUAGCAGUGGGUUUUCUGCAGCGGCAGGGACUUGUACUAUAUGACCUUUACAUAUAACACCUUCAAUGUCACUUAGUUACUUUAAAUAAAAGCAAAUAAGCAAUAGAGUUAAAAAAAGGGACCCCUGACCAUUAGGUCCAGUCAUGACCGACUGGGGUUGUGGCGCUCAUCUUGCUUUAUUGGCCGAGGGAGCCGGCGUACAGCUUCCAGGUCAUGUGACCAGCAUGACUAAGCCGCUUCUGGCAAACCAAAGCAGCACACGGAAACGCCAUUUACCUUCCUGCCGGAGCGGUACCUAUUUAUCUACUUGUACUUUAACGUGCUUUCGAACUGCUAGGUUGGCAGGAGAAAUGGGAGCUCACCCCGUUGCGGGGAUUCGAACCGCUGACCUUCUGAUCGGCAAGUCCUAGGCUCUGUGGUUUAACCCACAGCGCCACCCACAUCCCUAAGCAAUAGAGUUACUGUGUGUUUAAUAAGGUGACCAUUUGAGGCUUCAGUUCUAUGCCCUGAAAAAGUAUUUCCAAUUACCCUUUCACUCUCCUUCCCAAGUUAACAUACUGCACCCAGAGAACUUUACAAGCAGUCUUCAAUUUGGUCCUUAUUUCCCUCACUCUGGAGCCCUUUAGAGUGAAGGAAGUAAGGAUUGCAGUCAUUGUCUUCUACCUGAUCCAGCAACAAUUGUCACCUCAGGUUCAUAUGAAUCAGUAAUUAUUUGGCAGAAGCUCUUUCUUGAAGACUAUUCCAGGGUGUUGCUCUUUUGUUAUGUUAGCCAACGUCCUUUAGCACAAUGCCUCAGUGAUAUCAAUUCCUGGGUUGCAUCUUCAGCUUCCCUUCAGAUGCCAACCUCUGCUUCUGUCCCAGGUUCUCUUCUGGCUUCCCAUGAGAAUAGAAGAAAUAUAAGGCACAGUGCAUAUAUACCAAGUUUAGCUAAAAUUAGGGUCUGGUGAUCUGUCAUUAGAUUACAAUCCCACUUUCAGACAGUAAAAAAAAAAAUCACUUGGUCAUUCAGUGUUAUGCGAUACAUAAUAUUGGCAGGAAAAAUCAGCCUCCCUUUUGGAAAAGUAAUGCCACUGCAAUGAUCUUCACUCAUGUGUUGUGCCAGAUAACUGGUUAAUUAACAGUGGUCACCUUAGUUCAUCUGAGCAACCUCUCCCAAUUUUUCUUAAGAUGCAAGAACUUUCAGGUUACACAGAAUAAUUCCAGAACGGCUCCAUCUUUUGUUAGGGGAAUCAUUAGUUUGAACUGAUUUUAUGUUGUCUCCUCACAAAAGUGAGGAGAGUGCUGUUGCAGUCAAGUCUUGCUCUGGGGCUUCCUGUGGGCAUCUGUUUGGCCACUGUGAAAACAAGUUACCAAACUAGGCAAGUUAGAUGGUCUGACCCACCAGGGGUCUUCUUAUAUUUGAAAACACCUCAAGCUCCAUUUUCUUCCAUGCACCUUCUUCAAAUCCAGUAGCAUUUCACUGUUUAAUCAACUGGGAUGUAUGUACUUCUUUUCUAGCUGAAUGUAAUCUCAUAUCCAGACCUUGAUAUGUCGCAGGGUUUUUCCUGGCCUGUGCCACUUAGGACAUGUCAAAUUGGAAGGAAAGAAAGACCUUAGCUUUGACAAAGUACUGGGUUGUCAAGCAGAUACUGAAAGUGUCUUUGAGGCCUUUAUUAAAAUACAUAUUGUAGGAAGAAAUGUACCCCUGGAGCUAGAAUGUAAAUGACUUCCAUUAACAGGGCCUUUUUAACUUAUAGGCUAGGUAUAUUUUCUUCUUCUUCAUAAUGCUGAAGCUAUCUGCUCUGCAGAACAUCUUUCUUUCUUUUCCCCCCUGUUCAGAAUGAACUUUAAACAGCUGUGAUUAGUGGGAGGAAAAGAACAUUGCAAUAUAAAAUUAAUUGCUUCAACCUACAUUGUUCUCUUCAAAUCCACAGCUCAUUUUCUGCUGGGCCAGGCACCACCUGCUCCCCCCGGCUCCCAACUUCCCUUCCCACGCAACCAGCAAGAUCAACGUAGGAGAAAGGGAACCCAAUCAUUUUGGACCUGGUUUGAGAACUAUUAUUCUGGCAGUAACUGAGCUAAGAAGGAUGGGAACAUGUCAUUGCUGAGCUCUUCACAAAGAUAACCAGGGGAAAUGUGUCAUAAAAUGAAUAUGCUUCAUUCCAGAGCUUCGCUUUAAAUCAAACUAUAAAAAUCCUUUCUUUUAAAUCACUUCAAUUCAUUCAGCUGAGGGGAAAGUGCAAAGAGGUAAAUAAAUUCCCAGCAAUAAAAAUGUCCCAAAAACUCUCUUUGUUUAAUUAAAACCUUCCAGUGAGGCUUU
Molecule: long non-coding RNA, 7034 nt
Filed under: Podarcis lilfordi (Lilford's wall lizard)
Lineage: Eukaryota; Metazoa; Chordata; Lepidosauria; Squamata; Lacertidae
Source: RNAcentral